This is a non-coding RNA of Mayamaea pseudoterrestris, 74 nucleotides long. The record is from the annotation of a GenBank genome assembly. NCBI's taxonomy places the organism in Eukaryota, Bacillariophyta, Bacillariophyceae, Sellaphorales, Sellaphoraceae.
GCUUCCUUGGCUCAGUUGGUUAGAGCACCUCAUUAGUAAUGAGGAGGUCGCUGGUUCGAAUCCUGCAGGAAGCU